RNAcentral lists this ribosomal RNA (483 nucleotides) under uncultured bacterium. RNAcentral's name for it is "partial 16S ribosomal RNA". It matches the Rfam family "Bacterial small subunit ribosomal RNA", at positions 30 to 507 of the family's 1533-position model. The record is from RNAcentral.
AUUGAACGCUGGCGGCAGGCCUAACACAUGCAAGUCGAGCGGAUGAAGGGAGCUUGCUCCUGGAUUCAGCGGCGGACGGGUGAGUAAUGCCUAGGAAUCUGCCUGGUAGUGGGGGAUAACGUCCGGAAACGGGCGCUAAUACCGCAUACGUCCUGAGGGAGAAAGUGGGGGAUCUUCGGACCUCACGCUAUCAGAUGAGCCUAGGUCGGAUUAGCUAGUUGGUGGGGUAAAGGCCUACCAAGGCGACGAUCCGUAACUGGUCUGAGAGGAUGAUCAGUCAACCUGGACUUGGGCCCCGUUCCGAAUUCUUCGGGGGGCCGGCGUGGGGAAUAUUGGACCAUUGGGCGAAGCCCUGUCCCAGCCUGCCCGGGGGGUUAAGGAGGUCUUCCGAUUUUAAAGCCCCUUAAGUUUGGAGGAAGGGCAGUAAGUUAAUACCUUGCUGUUUUGACGUUACCAACAGAAUAAGCACCGGCUAACUUCGUG